CUUUCCUCCCGAGUGCUUGCACUCAAUUGGAAAGAGGAGUGGCGGACGGGUGAGUAACACGUGGGUAACCUACCCAUCAGAGGGGGAUAACACUUGGAAACAGGUGCUAAUACCGCAUAACAGUUUAUGCCGCAUGGCAUAAGAGUGAAAGGCGCUUUCGGGUGUCGCUGAUGGAUGGACCCGCGGUGCAUUAGCUAGUUGGUGAGGUAACGGCUCACCAAGGCCACGAUGCAUAGCCGACCUGAGAGGGUGAUCGGCCACACUGGGACUGAGACACGGCCCAGACUCCUACGGGAGGCAGCAGUAGGGAAUCUUCGGCAAUGGACGAAAGUCUGACCGAGCAACGCCGCGUGAGUGAAGAAGGUUUUCGGAUCGUAAAACUCUGUUGUUAGAGAAGAACAAGGACGUUAGUAACUGAACGUCCCCUGACGGUAUCUAACCAGAAAGCCACGGCUAACUACGUGCCAGCAGCCGCGGUAAUACGUAGGUGGCAAGCGUUGUCCGGAUUUAUUGGGCGUAAAGCGAGCGCAGGCGGUUUCUUAAGCCUGAUGUGAAAGCCCCCGGCUCAACCGGGGAGGGUCAUUGGAAACUGGGAGACUUGAGUGCAGAAGAGGAGAGUGGAAUUCCAUGUGUAGCGGUGAAAUGCGUAGAUAUAUGGAGGAACACCAGUGGCGAAGG
Molecule: ribosomal RNA, 678 nt
Filed under: uncultured Bacilli bacterium
Lineage: Bacteria; Bacillati; Bacillota; Bacilli
Description: bacterial SSU rRNA
Rfam family: Bacterial small subunit ribosomal RNA
Source: RNAcentral